UCCCGCUUAUCACGGGCAGUUCCCCUAAAGUGCCCACCAUAACGUGCUGGCAACCAAGGGUGUGGGUUGCGCUCGUUGCCGGACUUAACCGAACAUCUCACGACACGAGCUGACGACAGCCAUGCAGCACCUGUCCACCUGUCCCCGAAGGGAAAGCCACGUCUCCGUGGCGGUCCAGGCAUGUCAAAAGGUGGUAAGGUUCUGCGCGUUGCU
Molecule: unclassified non-coding RNA, 213 nt
Filed under: uncultured Paracoccaceae bacterium
Lineage: Bacteria; Pseudomonadati; Pseudomonadota; Alphaproteobacteria; Rhodobacterales; Paracoccaceae
Description: uncultured Rhodobacteraceae bacterium contains 16S-23S intergenic spacer region
Source: RNAcentral